This 235-nucleotide ribosomal RNA is filed under the name uncultured bacterium. RNAcentral describes it as "partial 16S ribosomal RNA". It matches the Rfam family "Bacterial small subunit ribosomal RNA", at positions 118 to 347 of the family's 1533-position model. The record is from RNAcentral.
UGAGGAACAUGACCUUCGGCGGGGGAGUAGCCGGCCCAACGGCCGGGUAAUACCGCGUACGACCACAUGGGGACAUCCCUGAGUGGUGAAAGCAGCAAUGCGCCGAUGGAGUGCCUCGCGGCCUAUCAGCUAGUUGGUGAGGUAACGGCUCACCAAGGCGACGACGGGUAGCUGGUCUGAGAGGAUGGCCAGCCACAUUGGGACUGAGACACGGCCCAGACCUCUACCGGGGAGG